UUAAACAUGCAAGUCGAGCGGUAACAGACAUAAAGAUUCAGCUUGCUGAAUCCGGUGCUGACGAGCGGCGAACGGGUGAGUAACGCGUAGGAAUCUACCCAGUAGCGGGGGAUAGCCCGAGGAAACUCGGAUUAAUACCGCAUACGCCCUGAGGGGGAAAGGGGGCAGUUUACUGCUCUCACUAUUGGAUGAGCCUGCGUAAGAUUAGCUUGUUGGUGGGGUAAUGGCCUACCAAGGCAACGAUCUUUAGCUGGUCUGAGAGGACGAUCAGCCACAUUGGGACUGAGACACGGCCCAGACAUCUACGGAUGGCAGCAGUUAAGAAUAUUGGACAAUGGGGGCAACCCUGAUCCAGGUAUACCGCGUGUGUGAAGAAGGCCCUAGGGUUGUAAAGCACUUUAAUCAGAGAAGAAGCAUUUUAAGUUAAUACCUUAAUAUGUUGACGUUACCUGAAGAAUAAGGACCGGCUAACUCCGUGCCAGCAGCCGCGGUAAUACGGAGGGUCCAAGCGUUAAUCGGAAUUACUGGGCGUAAAGCGCGCGUAGGCGGUUUAGCAAGUUGUAUGUGAAAGCCCUGGGCUCAACCUAGGAACUGCAUUCAAAACUACUAAGCUAGAGUACGAGAGAGGAGAGUAGAAUUUCUGGUGUAGCGGUGAAAUGCGUAGAUAUCAGAAGGAAUACCAAUGGCGAAGGCAGCUCUCUGGCUCGUCACUGACGCUGAGGUGCGAAAGCGUGGGUAGCAAACAGGAUUAGAUACCCUGGUAGUCCACGCCGUAAACGAUGAGAACUAGCCGUUGGGCAGAUUUAACUGUUCAGUGGCACAGCUAACGCAUUAAGUUCUCCGCCU
RNAcentral lists this ribosomal RNA (846 nucleotides) under uncultured SAR156 cluster gamma proteobacterium. RNAcentral describes it as "SSU rRNA". It matches the Rfam family "Bacterial small subunit ribosomal RNA", at positions 49 to 874 of the family's 1533-position model. The record is from RNAcentral. Lineage: Bacteria; Pseudomonadati; Pseudomonadota; Gammaproteobacteria.